GUCCACGCCUAACGAUGUCAACUGGUUGUUGGACGGCUUGCUGUUCAGUAACGAAGCUAACGCGUGAAGUUGACCGCCUGGGAGUACGGCCGCAAGGUUGAACUCAAAGGAAUUGACGGGACCCGCACAAGCGGUGGAUGAUGUGGUUUAAUUCGAUGCAACGCGAAACCUUACCUACCCUUGACAUGUCUGGAAUUUUGCAGAGAUGUGAAAGUGCUCGAAAGAGAACCAGAACACAGGUGCUGCAUGGCCGUCGU
Molecule: ribosomal RNA, 257 nt
Filed under: uncultured bacterium
Lineage: Bacteria
Description: partial 16S ribosomal RNA
Rfam family: Bacterial small subunit ribosomal RNA
Source: RNAcentral